GUGAGAAAUCAAUUCCUAUUGUUCACAAGCAUCUUCCCCCCUCCCCCCUCCAACUCCGCCCCGCCAUCAUGGUACUUGGUUAUAACAGCCCAAACGGAUGGAGACAGUCAUUCCCAGAAUUCUGCGAAGAAGGCUCUCUUACCUACGUUUUACUCAUCAGGAAUCAGAGGCCCCGAGAGGUGGCAUGACUUCCCCAGGGCCACAGGACUGGCUGCAGCAGAGCCCAGCUGCACAGCCCCGGCUCUUUGACUCCGAAGCCCGUGUUCUCCCAUCUGAGCUGCACUGCUUCUCCAGUGCCCCUCCACCUCUUUGGGCUUCAAUUUCCCCAUUUGUCUCAUGAAUCGAUUUAAUUAGAUCAGCCCAUCCAACCAAACACAAACUUCGUGAGCUGUUAGCAGGCCUUCUCAGAACCUCUCAGAGACGAAGAGUACCGCGGCUGUUUAAAAGGUGGGCAGUGCCCACAGCAUUUCCUGCCUGGCUGACCCAUGGGGCCAUGUGGAGCAGAACAUUGCUCAGGACUAAGUCUGGGGACACCUCACUCUGAAAUGCUGAUGAUCUGGACAGUCUUUUCAUUUACAAAGGGCCUGGGUUCUAUGAGCUUUCAACCUCCCCCCACCCCCCCACCCCCAUCAGCGGUCUUCAACUGAUGCUAAUACUGCUAAGUUCUACUCCGAGGAGGGAGACCCAGGUCGAGUCUGCCACUGAGCCCCCAGGGAAGCCUGGCUGUAGCCUGCCUCCUGGGAUGGCUCCUUCCCCUUCUCUGAGAUUCCUGUCGUUGCACUGACAAAUUGCCACAAACAUGUGCCUUAAAACAGCGGAGCGUUAUUGCCUUUCAGUUUGGGAGGUCAGAAGCCUCUGGGCUACAGUCAAGGUGCUGGCAGGGCUGUAUUCCUUCUGGAAGCUCAAGGAUUUUUCCUGCGUUUUCCAGCUUCUGGGGGCCACCCCCACUCCUUGGCUCAUGCCCCUUCCUCCAGCUUCAGCACCAGCAGUGGCAGGCCCAGCCUUCCUCGCAGCCUCGGUCAUCCACGUUUAGGGCUCUUGUGGUCCCACUGGACCCACCCGGGUCCCCCAGGCCAGUCUCCUGGUCAUGAGGUCAGCUGACUAGCAAGCUUAAUUCCAGCUGCACCCUUAAUGCCCCCUCUUGAGGUGGCAUCCAUUCACGGGUUCCAGGUUCUAGGUGGAUGUCUUCAGGGGCUGUUACUGUGCUUCCCUCGCCUCCUCUGCUCAGCUCUGAACUCAGCACAGUAACAGUGCUCAGAGCUGUGCCUGUGAUGCUCUCACCACGGCCCCCGGGGCGGCUGGCGCCCGUCACCCCUCCUGACAGGAAACCGAGGCUCAGAGGUGUGAAGUUGCCUGCUGAGGCCGCCCAGCAGGAAAACAGCCCAGCUGGGGCUCAUGGCCACGUCCACGCAUGCGCCUCAGGAGCCCAGGCUCUUGGCCACCAUGGGGGGCACCUGUUACCCGCCACGGGCCAGCUCCUCCCGCAGUGAGCGCCC
Molecule: long non-coding RNA, 1496 nt
Organism: Bos taurus (domestic cattle)
Lineage: Eukaryota; Metazoa; Chordata; Mammalia; Artiodactyla; Bovidae
Source: Ensembl